AAUAUUGCAAAAUGGGCGUAAGCCUGAUGCAGCAACGCCGCGUGAGUGAUGAAGGCCUUCGGGUCGUAAAGCUCUUUGUUCAGGGAAGAUAAUGACAGUACCUGAAAAACACACAACGGCUAACUACGUGCCUGCAGCCGCGGUAAUACGUAGGUGGCGAACGUUGUACGGAAUUACUGGGCGGAAAGGGUGCGUAGGUGGAUACUUAAGUGGGAUGUGAAAUCCCCGGGCUCAACCCGGGAACUGCGUUCCAAACUGGGUAUCUAGAAUGCAGGAGAGGAAAGCGGAAUUCCUAGUGUAACGGUGAAAUGCGUAGAUAUUAGGAGGAACACCAGUGGCGAAGGCGGCUUUCUGGACUGUAACUGACACUGAGGCAUGAAAGCGUGGGUAGCAAACAGG
RNAcentral lists this ribosomal RNA (399 nucleotides) under uncultured bacterium. RNAcentral describes it as "partial 16S ribosomal RNA". It matches the Rfam family "Bacterial small subunit ribosomal RNA", at positions 360 to 776 of the family's 1533-position model. The record is from RNAcentral.